UCGCACUAGUCGGGGAGAUAGCGGUGCCCUGUUGCCUGCAAUCCGCUACAGCAGGGAUGAAUUCCCACACCCGGGCUUGUCUGAGUGCCGUCUGCCCUGAGUAAGUGGCGUUGAGAGAUCGGUCUUGCGCAACGGAAUCCCGUGAACCGUGUCAGGUGGGGAACCAAGCAGCACUAAGCGGAUCGUUCCGUGUGCCGCGAGGCAGCCGUUCUUGAGUUAACUGCUCAGGUUCCGGGUGUUCAGCUCGUUCAAAUGUGGGUGUGCGA
This 266-nucleotide signal recognition particle RNA is filed under the name Oscillospiraceae bacterium. Its description in RNAcentral is "signal recognition particle sRNA large type". It matches the Rfam family "Bacterial large signal recognition particle RNA". Rfam says of the family: The signal recognition particle (SRP) is a universally conserved ribonucleoprotein involved in the co-translational targeting of proteins to membranes. Archaeal SRP consists of a 7S RNA and homologues of the eukaryotic SRP19 and SRP54 proteins. The record is from RNAcentral. Lineage: Bacteria; Bacillati; Bacillota; Clostridia; Eubacteriales; Oscillospiraceae.